RNAcentral lists this ribosomal RNA (446 nucleotides) under uncultured bacterium. RNAcentral describes it as "bacterial SSU rRNA". It matches the Rfam family "Bacterial small subunit ribosomal RNA", at positions 329 to 792 of the family's 1533-position model. The record is from RNAcentral.
UCCCAGACUCCUACGGGAGGCAGCAGUGGGGAAUAUUGCACAAUGGGGGAAACCCUGAUGCAGCGACGCCGCGUGAGUGAAGAAGUACUUCGUUAUGUAAAGCUCUAUCAGCAGGGAAGAAAAUGACGGUACCUGAGUAAGAAGCCCCGGCUAAAUACGUGCCAGCAGCCGCGGUAAUACGUAUGGAGCAAGCGUUAUCCGGAUUUACUGGGCGUAAAGGGAGCGUAGGCGGCCUGCCAAGUCUGAUGUGAAGUACCGGGGCUCAACCCCGGGGCUGCAUUGGAAACUGGCAGGCUGGAGUGCCGGAGAGGCAGGCGGAAUUCCUAGUGUAGCGGUGAAAUGCGUAGAUAUUAGGAGGAACACCAGUGGCGAAGGCGGCCUGCUGGACGGUGACUGACGCUGAGGCUCGAAAGCGUGGGGAGCGAACAGGAUUAGAUACCCCAGUA